UACGGGGGGGGCAAGCGUUGUUCGGAAUUAUUGGGCGUAAAGGGCUCGUAGGCGGUCUGUUGCGUCGGGAGUGAAAACUCAGGGCUUAACCCUGAGCCUGCUUCCGAUACGGGCAGACUAGAGGUAUGCAGAGGGUAGCGGAAUUCCCGGUGUAGUGGUGAAAUGCGUAGAUAUCGGGAGGAACACCAGUGGCGAAGGCGGCUACCUGGCCCACUCUUGACGCUGAGGCGCGAAAGCUAGGGGAGCAAACGGG
RNAcentral lists this ribosomal RNA (253 nucleotides) under uncultured bacterium. Its description in RNAcentral is "partial 16S ribosomal RNA". It matches the Rfam family "Bacterial small subunit ribosomal RNA", at positions 524 to 776 of the family's 1533-position model. The record is from RNAcentral.